RNAcentral lists this ribosomal RNA (200 nucleotides) under uncultured bacterium. RNAcentral describes it as "partial 16S ribosomal RNA". It matches the Rfam family "Bacterial small subunit ribosomal RNA", at positions 8 to 217 of the family's 1533-position model. The record is from RNAcentral.
AGAGUUUGAUCCUGGCUCAGGACUAACGCUGGCGGCGUGCCUAACACAUGCAAGUCGAACGGGGUAGCAAUACCCAGUGGCAGACGGGUGAGUAACACGUGGUCAACCUACCUCUGUGUGGGGGAUAACUAGCCGAAAGGUUAGCUAAUACCGCAUACGAUCUUCGAGCGGCAUCGCUUGGAGAUGAAAGGAGCAAUCCG